RNAcentral lists this long non-coding RNA (1041 nucleotides) under Urocitellus parryii (Arctic ground squirrel). RNAcentral's name for it is "lncRNA (ENSUPAG00010012737.1)". The record is from RNAcentral. Lineage: Eukaryota; Metazoa; Chordata; Mammalia; Rodentia; Sciuridae.
AAAUCCUCAGCACACGUAGUAUAGAGCCUGAGACGCAGGAGGAAAUUGCCUCCAUAGAAACCAUUAUUUCCAAGAAUACUGAAGAGCAGUCCACAUCAGCUAAGAAAAAUGAAACUGGCAUUCCUAUAGAUAAAAACCAGCCGCUACAGAAUCCUGUUGGUUCAAAAAUGAAUGCAUUUGAAAAACGACUUGAAAAUGUCACUACCACUUUGAACAACCUUCAAAACCGCUUACAGGAGGACUUGAACGAUAUUUAUUUGCAACUUUCCCAAUUUAAAGAUAAUAUCUAUGCUUUGGAGAAUACUCUGACUAUGGCCAGGAUGGAGCAUUUGAAUUCAUAUACUGAAUCAACAACUCAACCUUUCCAAGAAAAUGAAAAGGAAGUGUAUUCUUCAGGACUGCCGUAUAUAACACCUAGUCAGAAUUAUGGUAUCUCGGAUCCAGUCACUGUUUCUGUUCCCUUUACAAACACUGCUCUAGAACCAACAUCACAAGAUUCUACAGAUACAGCAAAUGUUGAAAUACUGGAAGGGAAACCCAAGAUAAUCGUUUCAUUCAUAAAGAAUCUUACAGAUUUCCAAAUCUUUUUCUAUGGUGCUGAUAACAAUGCGAAUGGAUAUUUAACAUACCAUGAAAUAAAGAGCCUUCUAGGAGAAGAGACACCAGAACAAGAACAAUUGGAGCUGUUUGAUGCUGAUCACAACCGGAUGUACUCCUAUGCUGAACUAAUAAGAGCAUUUGGACUGACUGAAUAAAUAAGAAGAUGGAAGUACAAGAAGGAAGAAUAUAUUCAAAGCAGUGGAUUAAGUUUAUUUUACAUCAUGUUCUUUCUAUAUUCUUUCAUUUUGGCAAGAUGUGUUAGGAAAGGUACUUCUGACCAAGUUUCUAAAACUUGUUAGUUCUUUUGAACUUUCUUCAGUUUAAAAUAGCUUUUAUUUCGUGAAAGUCUUUAAAAAUUCCAUAUUACUUCCAGUCUUCAAGAAAAACAACAUUUUUAGUUUGAACUUUUAAAAUAAAUAAUUUCUAAGAAUACUAUAUACA